GAGAGAGGUAUAAUACAAUAAAAACUGCUAAUUCUUAUAUCUGAGGUUAAAUCCCACAGCUCCCUCA
RNAcentral lists this transfer RNA (67 nucleotides) under Kinosternon leucostomum (white-lipped mud turtle). Its description in RNAcentral is "tRNA-Ser". The record is from RNAcentral. Lineage: Eukaryota; Metazoa; Chordata; Testudines; Kinosternidae.